Molecule: ribosomal RNA, 253 nt
Filed under: uncultured bacterium
Lineage: Bacteria
Description: partial 16S ribosomal RNA
Rfam family: Bacterial small subunit ribosomal RNA
Source: RNAcentral
UACGAAGGGGGCUAGCGUUGCUCGGAAUCACUGGGCGUAAAGGGUGCGUAGGCGGGUUUUUAAGUCGGGGGUGAAAUCCUGGAGCUCAACUCCAGAACUGCCUUCGAUACUGAGAGUCUCGAGUCCGGGAGAGGUGAGUGGAACUGCGAGUGUAGAGGUGAAAUUCGUAGAUAUUCGCAAGAACACCAGUGGCGAAGGCGGCUCACUGGCCCGGUACUGACGCUGAGGUGCGAAAGCGUGGGGAGCAAACAGG